Molecule: ribosomal RNA, 254 nt
Filed under: uncultured bacterium
Lineage: Bacteria
Description: partial 16S ribosomal RNA
Rfam family: Bacterial small subunit ribosomal RNA
Source: RNAcentral
UACAGAGGGGGCAAGCGUUAUUCGGAUUUACUGGGCGUAAAGGGCGCGUAGGCGGUCGUGACAAGUCACUUGUGAAAUCUCCGGGCCUAACUCGGAACGGUCAAGUGAUACUGUCGGACUAGAGUACAGAAGGGGCAACUGGAAUUCUCGGUGUAGCGGUGAAAUGCGUAGAUAUCGAGAGGAACACCUGCGGCGAAGGCGGGUUGCUGGGCUGAUACUGACGCUGAUGCGCGAAAGCCAGGGGAGCGAACGGG